Long non-coding RNA from Onychostoma macrolepis, 1240 nucleotides. RefSeq lists it as uncharacterized. Lineage: Eukaryota; Metazoa; Chordata; Actinopteri; Cypriniformes; Cyprinidae. The transcript is spliced from 3 exons. The record is from RefSeq and is a predicted model, not a curated record.
CAAAAAACGCGUGUACGCAUGCGCCUGACAGAAACCGUUGGUGUAGUGAAUUCAAAUGUCUGCGCGAGAGAGUGGAGCCGAUGCUGAGGAGUGACAAAACAUCAUUUCCAGACGGAUUUUCAUCAUUGAAGUUAUGUGUAACCCACCAUUGCUAGGUCUGAGCUUACGAGGCACCAUUUAGUCAGAAGUCAGAAGUGUAAAAAAGGAACCACUAUGAAUUUCACAAGCCAUUGGAGAACCACACAACUGCAAUGAAAAUUGGAAUAGUAAGCAUCAGCAGUUGCACUUCAAGAGCCCUGUCAAGUGUGCUAAAUGUCUCCGUUGUCCUGGAAGAGGAGGUGGUGCUUCACAAUUUAGGAGACUUUGUAAAUGUAUUUAUUGUACUCUUUGGAUUAUUGUGUGCACUCAACAUGGAGUACAACAAGGAUUUAUAAUAAAAGGUUAGUUCACCAAAAAUGGAAAUUGUCAUUAAUUACUCACCCUCAUGUCGUACCCAAACCCGUAAGACCUUCAGUCAUCUUCAGAACACAUAUUAAGAUAUUUUUGAUAAAUCCAAGAGCUCUCUGACCCUCCGUAGGAAGCUAUGCAACUUACACAUUCAAGUUCCAGAACAGUAGGAAAGACAUCAUUAAAGUAUUCAGCGUGAGUCCAGUGGUUUAACCUAAAUUUUAUGAAGCAGCUCAAGAGUUUUGUUUGCAGAAAAAAAACAAAAAACAAUUUACUACUUUAUUUACAAAAUAAUAGCCAAAGUGUGGUGGUGCUUCCCCUAUUGGGUUGCAGAUCAAUGUUUUAGUAAAUAAGGUGGUUAUUUAUUUAUUUUUGUGCACACAAAGCACUCGCGUUGGUUCCUAAAAUUGAGGUUUAAACCACUGGAGUCACGUUGAUUACUCUAAUGAUGUCUUUCCUACUGUUCUGGACCUUGAUUUUCUGAAUUGAAUUUUCAUUUUUUUAGGUGAACUAACCCUAAAAAGUUCAAAGUACCUCUUAUGAGAUUAUUUAUUUAUUUUAUUUUAUUUUUUGGCAAAUAUUUGAAGUGUAAGUUUCAAGAGUACCUUUUGUGAGAAUGGUAAUAUUCAGGUGAGAUUACACUAAACACUGGUUGAAGUAACCUCAGAUAAAUGAUUACAUUUUAUGGUGUUUUUGAUAUUUUUGCAUGUUUGUGAAUGUAUUAAUGUUUAAAGUGCAAUUCAUCAGCUUUGUGUCUCUUAUGAGAAUUAAAAUGCAUGAUUUUGUAAGGUUU